UACGUAGGUGGCAAGCGUUGUCCGGAUUUAUUGGGUUUAAAGGGUGCGUAGGCGGUCUUUUAAGUCAGUGCUGAAAUACUCCAGCUUAACUGGAGGGGUGGCAUUGAUACUGGAAGACUUGAGUGCAGUCGAGGUAGGCGGAAUUGACGGUGUAGCGGUGAAAUGCUUAGAUAUCGUCAAGAACACCGAUAGUGAAGACAGCUUGCUAGGCUGCAACUGACGCUGAGGCACGAAAGUGUGGGGAUCAAACAGG
Molecule: ribosomal RNA, 253 nt
Filed under: uncultured bacterium
Lineage: Bacteria
Description: partial 16S ribosomal RNA
Rfam family: Bacterial small subunit ribosomal RNA
Source: RNAcentral